This 478-nucleotide ribosomal RNA is filed under the name uncultured bacterium. RNAcentral's name for it is "partial 16S ribosomal RNA". It matches the Rfam family "Bacterial small subunit ribosomal RNA", at positions 28 to 523 of the family's 1533-position model. The record is from RNAcentral.
GACGAACGCUGGCGGCGUGCUCAACACAUGCAAGUCGAACGGUAAGGCCCUUCGGGGUACACGAGUGGCGAACGGGUGAGUAACACGUGGGUGAUCUGCCCUGCACUUCGGGAUAAGCCUGGGAAACUGGGUCUAAUACCGGAUAGAACCACUGCCUGCAUGGGUGGUGGUGGAAAGCUUUUGCGGUGUGGGAUGGGCCCGCGGCCUAUCAGCUUGUUGGUGGGGUGAUGGCCUACCAAGGCGACGACGGGUAGCCGGCCUGAGAGGGUGACCGGCCACACUGGGACUGAGAGACGGCCCAGACUACUACGGGAGGCAGCAGUGGGGAAUAUUGCACAAUGGGCGCAAGCCUGAUGCAGCGACGCCGCGUGAGGGAUGACGGCCUUCGGGUUGUAAACCUCUUUCAGCACCGACGAAGCGCAAGUGACGGUAGGUGCAGAAGAAGGACCGGCCAACUACGUGCCAGCCGCCGCGGUAA